UGCCAGCAUACUAAGUAUGGUCAGAGGUCACU
RNAcentral lists this non-coding RNA (32 nucleotides) under Rattus norvegicus (Norway rat). The record is from RNAcentral. Lineage: Eukaryota; Metazoa; Chordata; Mammalia; Rodentia; Muridae.